UGGGGAAUAUUGCACAAUGGGCGCAAGCCUGAUGCAGCCAUGCCGCGUGUAUGAAGAAGGCCUUCGGGUUGUAAAGUACUUUCAGUCGGGAGGAAGGUGUCAAGGUUAAUAACCUUGUCGAUUGACGUUACCCGCAGAAGAAGCACCGGCUAACUCCGUGCCAGCAGCCGCGGUAAUACGGAGGGUGCAAGCGUUAAUCGGAAUUACUGGGCGUAAAGCGCACGCAGGCGGUUGAUUGAGUCAGAUGUGAAAUCCCCGGGCUUAACCCGGGAAUUGCAUCUGAUACUGGUCAGCUAGAGUCUUGUAGAGGGGGGUAGAAUUCCAUGUGUAGCGGUGAAAUGCGUAGAGAUGUGGAGGAAUACCGGUGGCGAAGGCGGCCCCCUGGACAAAGACUGACGCUCAGGUGCGAAAGCGUGGGGAGCAAACAGG
Molecule: ribosomal RNA, 429 nt
Filed under: Chloroflexota bacterium
Lineage: Bacteria; Bacillati; Chloroflexota
Description: Chloroflexi bacterium partial 16S ribosomal RNA
Rfam family: Bacterial small subunit ribosomal RNA
Source: RNAcentral